Molecule: ribosomal RNA, 719 nt
Filed under: uncultured Fusobacterium sp.
Lineage: Bacteria; Fusobacteriati; Fusobacteriota; Fusobacteriia; Fusobacteriales; Fusobacteriaceae
Description: bacterial SSU rRNA
Rfam family: Bacterial small subunit ribosomal RNA
Source: RNAcentral
GAACGCUGACAGAAUGCUUAACACAUGCAAGUCAACUUGAAUUUGGGUUUUUAACUUAGAUUUGGGUGGCGGACGGGUGAGUAACGCGUAAAGAACUUGCCUCACAGCUAGGGACAACAUUUAGAAAUGAAUGCUAAUACCUGAUAUUAUGAUUUUAAGGCAUCUUAGAAUUAUGAAAGCUAUAAGCACUGUGAGAGAGCUUUGCGUCCCAUUAGCUAGUUGGAGAGGUAACAGCCCACCAAGGCGAUGAUGGGUAGCCGGCCUGAGAGGGUGAACGGCCACAAGGGGACUGAGACACGGCCCUUACUCCUACGGGAGGCAGCAGUGGGGAAUAUUGGACAAUGGACCGAGAGUCUGAUCCAGCAAUUCUGUGUGCACGAUGAAGUUUUUCGGAAUGUAAAGUGCUUUCAGUUGGGAAGAAAGAAAUGACGGUACCAACAGAAGAAGUGACGGCUAAAUACGUGCCAGCAGCCGCGGUAAUACGUAUGUCACGAGCGUUAUCCGGAUUUAUUGGGCGUAAAGCGCGUCUAGGUGGUUAUGUAAGUCUGAUGUGAAAAUGCAGGGCUCAACUCUGUAUUGCGUUGGAAACUGUAUAACUAGAGUACUGGAGAGGUAAGCGGAACUACAAGUGUAGAGGUGAAAUUCGUAGAUAUUUGUAGGAAUGCCGAUGGGGAAGCCAGCUUACUGGACAGAUACUGACGCUAAAGCGCGAAAGCGUG